UAAUGUUAGUGGGGGUAUAUAAAGGCAUAAAGAGAUAAAAUCCAUCCACUAACUCAUCUUCUUCAUUUCAUUCUCUCUUGGCCGAAAUCUUGUUCUCUCAUUUCCUCCAUGAAUGUUCUUCAUGCAAGCUCUAAAUCCUUCCAUUCUCACCCUAAUCCUCACAAGUUCCUUCAUUAAAGUUAGUCUUCACACCUUGGGAAGUCUAUAGGCAGCAAAAGGAAGGA
RNAcentral lists this unclassified non-coding RNA (224 nucleotides) under Hevea brasiliensis (rubber tree). The record is from RNAcentral. Lineage: Eukaryota; Viridiplantae; Streptophyta; Magnoliopsida; Malpighiales; Euphorbiaceae.